GACGAACGCUGGCGGCGUGCUUAACACAUGCAAGUCGAGCGGAAAGGCCCUGCGUUUGUGGGGUGCUCGAGUGGCGAACGGGUGAGUAACACGUGAGUAACCUGUCCUUGACUUUGGGAUAACUUCAGGAAACUGGGGCUAAUACCGGAUAGGAGCUCCUGCUGCAUGGUGGGGGUUGGAAAGUUUCGGCGGUUGGGGAUGGACUCGCGGGUUAUCAGCUUGUUGGUGUGGUAGUGGCUUACCAAGGCUUUGACGGGUAGCCGGCCUGAGAGGGUGACCGGCCACAUUGGGACUGAGAGACGGCGCAGAUUCGUACGGGAGGCAGCAGUGGGGAAUAUUGCACAAUGGGCGGAAGCCUGAUGCAGCAACGCCGCGUGCGGGAUGACGGCCUUCGGGUUGUAAACCGCUUUCGCCUGUGACGAAGCGUGAGUGACGGUAAUGGGUAAAGAAGCACCGGCUAACUACGUG
RNAcentral lists this ribosomal RNA (468 nucleotides) under uncultured bacterium. RNAcentral's name for it is "partial 16S ribosomal RNA". It matches the Rfam family "Bacterial small subunit ribosomal RNA", at positions 28 to 507 of the family's 1533-position model. The record is from RNAcentral.